Molecule: ribosomal RNA, 492 nt
Filed under: uncultured bacterium
Lineage: Bacteria
Description: partial 16S ribosomal RNA
Rfam family: Bacterial small subunit ribosomal RNA
Source: RNAcentral
AGUGAACGCUGGCGGUAGGCCUAACACAUGCAAGUCGAACGGCAGCACAGUAAGAGCUUGCUCUUACGGGUGGCGAGUGGCGGGCGGGUGAGGAAUACAUCGGAAUCUACUUUUUCGUGGGGGAUAACAUAGGGAAACUUACGCUAAUACCGCAUACGACCUACGGGUGAAAGCAGGGGAUCUUCGGACCUUGCGCGAUUGAAUGAGCCGAUGUCGGAUUAGCUAGUUGGCGGGGUAAAGGCCCACCAAGGCGACGAUCCGUAGCUGGUCUGAGAGGAUGAUCAGCCACACUGGAACUGAGACACGGUCCAGACUCCUACGGGAGGCAGCAGUGGGGAAUAUUGGACAAUGGGCGCAAGCCUGAUCCAGCCAUACCGCGUGGGUGAAGAAGGCCUUCGGGUUGUAAAGCCCUUUUGUUGGGAAAGAAAAGCAGCAGGUUAAUACCCCGCUGUUCUGACGGUACCCAAAGAAUAAGCACCGGCUAACUUCGUG